This 465-nucleotide ribosomal RNA is filed under the name uncultured bacterium. RNAcentral describes it as "partial 16S ribosomal RNA". It matches the Rfam family "Bacterial small subunit ribosomal RNA", at positions 28 to 507 of the family's 1533-position model. The record is from RNAcentral.
GACGAACGCUGGCGGCGUGCUUAACACAUGCAAGUCGAACGGAAAGGCCCUGCUUGCAGGGUACUCGAGUGGCGAACGGGUGAGUAACACGUGGGUGAUCUGCCCUGCACUUCGGGAUAAGCCUGGGAAACUGGGUCUAAUACCGGAUAGGAGCCAUUUUUAGUGUGAUGGUUGGAAAGUUUUUUCGGUGUAGGAUGAGCUCGCGGCCUAUCAGCUUGUUGGUGGGGUAAUGGCCUACCAAGGCGGCGACGGGUAGCCGGCCUGAGAGGGUGGACGGCCACAGUGGGACUGGGAUACGGCCCAGACUCCUACGGGAGGCAGCAGUGGGGAAUAUUGCACAAUGGGCGCAAGCCUGAUGCAGCGACGCCGCGUGGGGGAUGACGGCCUUCGGGUUGUAAACUCCUUUCGCUAGGGACGAAGCUUUUUGUGACGGUACCUAGAUAAGAAGCACCGGCUAACUACGUG